Molecule: ribosomal RNA, 399 nt
Filed under: uncultured bacterium
Lineage: Bacteria
Description: bacterial SSU rRNA
Rfam family: Bacterial small subunit ribosomal RNA
Source: RNAcentral
GACGAACGCUGGCGGCGUGCUUAACACAUGUAAGUCGAGCGGUAAGGCCCUUCGGGGUACGACGAGCGGCGAACGGGUGAGUAACACGUGGGUGACCUGCCUCUAGCUCUGGGAUAAGCCUGGGAAACUGGGUCUAAUACCGGAUAUGACUCCACGGCGCAUGUUGUGGGGUGGAAAGCCUUGUGUGGCUAGAGAUGGGCCCGCGGCCUAUCAGCUUGUUGGUGGGGUGAUGGCCUACCAAGGCGACGACGGGUAGCCGGCCUGAGAGGGCGACCGGCCACACUAGGACUGAGACACGGCCCAGACUCCUACGGGAGGCAGCAGUGGGGAAUCUUGCGCAAUGGGCGGAAAGACCUGACGCAGCGACGCCGCGUGAGGGAUGACGGCCUCGGUUGUAAC